AUGGGGCCCUUGGUGACUGGCGACCCCAUGAGCACCCACCCUCCAGCCUGGGGCGGGAUGGCCCAAUCGGGCGCUGUGGGGGUCCGUUUGGAAACCGCUCUCUGCUUUGAGGAUACGCGGGGAGCUUCCCUGGAAGCUGUGAAGAGGGGCAGACACGAGGCCUCUGGCCAGCCGCGCCUCGGGUCCAGGCCUCCCUGUGUCCACAUCUGGUCUCCCGGCUUUUCACAACAGUGACCUUGACAGCGCCCAGAGUCCGCUGCUUCCGUCCAGUCCGCUCUUCCCCUACGUGGCCAAGAGGACGCAGCACUGGCGGCUUCAGGAGGUGGCUGUGAGCGCGGGGCUGGGGCCAAGAGCAGAGGACCAGAGAGGAGUCUCCAAGCCACCACCGGCCCCGUCACCGGCUACCGGCUAGAAGAACUUCGCCUGAGGCAGGUCUCCUCUGUGCCCAGGGAAGGAAGGCUGGACGUGAUGGUUUCUGAAAAAAGUUACACAGAGAAAAGCCCUUCCCCCAUAAAGGCAGAAUCCUGUCCUCUUGGAACAGUGAAUCCCCAGCAGAGGACCUCAGCUCCCAAGCUCCAUUCAGCCUGGGCUCCCUGGAACCUGCUACCCUGCCCAGGAGCUGUCAACACCUGGAGUGCAGUGCAGGAAGAAUGCAGGGGCGCUUGAUGGGGAGGUGAGUGAGUGCAGAUGGGGUUCCUGGAACUCCUUGGGCCCUUGGGGUAGCUCCCACUCAGGCUGUCCUGCAGGUCCUCACAAGGCCCACUACUGAGCAGGAAGAAUGUCCCCAGGAGAGGCAAGAGGUGGGGCAAGGGCGAGUAUGGGGUCCCUUGCAUUUGCGGCAAAAUGGAGAGGGAGAUGAGAGGCAAGGAGUACUGGCCCUCACAUGGAAACCUAUAGCACACUGCCCAAAGGGAAUGGGAAGGGAAACACAGCCACGCACGUCCACAGAAGACUUGGCAGAUGGGAGAGGGUAGCUUUGAGGACUGAAAUCCCUACUUCACAG
Molecule: long non-coding RNA, 1003 nt
Filed under: Homo sapiens (human)
Lineage: Eukaryota; Metazoa; Chordata; Mammalia; Primates; Hominidae
Description: HSALNT0103929
Source: RNAcentral